This 24-nucleotide non-coding RNA is filed under the name Arabidopsis thaliana (thale cress). The record is from RNAcentral. Lineage: Eukaryota; Viridiplantae; Streptophyta; Magnoliopsida; Brassicales; Brassicaceae.
GAAAAAGCUGGUCAUUCGGUUGAA